Molecule: ribosomal RNA, 2558 nt
Filed under: Listeria monocytogenes
Lineage: Bacteria; Bacillati; Bacillota; Bacilli; Caryophanales; Listeriaceae
Description: partial 23S ribosomal RNA
Rfam family: Bacterial large subunit ribosomal RNA
Source: RNAcentral
CCCGGUAGUUGAAAUGGCUUUCCCUCCAGAGUGGAUCCUGAGUACGGCGGAACACGUGAAAUUCCGUCGGAAUCCGGGAGGACCAUCUCCCAAGGCUAAAUACUCCCUAGUGACCGAUAGUGAACCAGUACCGUGAGGGAAAGGUGAAAAGCACCCCGGAAGGGGAGUGAAACAGUUCCUGAAACCGUGUGCCUACAAGUAGUUAGAGCCCGUUAAUGGGUGAUAGCGUGCCUUUUGUAGAAUGAACCGGCGAGUUACGAUUUGUUGCAAGGUUAAGCGGAAAAAGCGGAGCCGUAGCGAAAGCGAGUCUGAAUAGGGCGCAUAAGUAACAGGUCGUAGACCCGAAACCAGGUGAUCUACCCAUGUCCAGGAUGAAGGUAAGGUAAUACUUACUGGAGGUCCGAACCCACGCACGUUGAAAAGUGCGGGGAUGAGGUGUGGGUAGCGGAGAAAUUCCAAUCGAACUUGGAGAUAGCUGGUUCUCUCCGAAAUAGCUUUAGGGCUAGCCUCGAGGUAAAGAGUCAUGGAGGUAGAGCACUGUUUGGACUAGGGGCCCUUCUCGGGUUACCGAAUUCAGAUAAACUCCGAAUGCCAUGUACUUAUACUCGGGAGUCAGACUGCGAGUGAUAAGAUCCGUAGUCGAAAGGGAAACAGCCCAGACCACCAGUUAAGGUCCCCAAAUAUAUGUUAAGUGGAAAAGGAUGUGGGGUUGCUUAGACAACCAGGAUGUUGGCUUAGAAGCAGCCACCAUUGAAAGAGUGCGUAAUAGCUCACUGGUCGAGUGACCCCGCGCCGAAAAUGUACCGGGGCUAAACAUAUUACCGAAACUGUGGAUGAACCUCUUUAGAGGUUCGUGGUAGGAGAGCGUUCUAAGGGCGGUGAAGUCAGACCGGAAGGACUGGUGGAGCGCUUAGAAGUGAGAAUGCCGGUAUGAGUAGCGAAAGAAGGGUGAGAAUCCCUUCCACCGAAUAUCUAAGGUUUCCUGAGGAAGGCUCGUCCGCUCAGGGUUAGUCGGGACCUAAGCCGAGGCCGAUAGGCGUAGGCGAUGGACAACAGGUAGAGAUUCCUGUACCAGUGCUAAUUGUUUAACCGAUGGGGUGACACAGAAGGAUAGGGAAUCGCACGAAUGGAAAUGUGCGUCCAAGCAGUGAGUGUGAGAAGUAGGCAAAUCCGCUUCUCGCGAAGCAUGAGCUGUGAUGGGGAAGGAAAUUAAGUACGGAAGUUCCUGAUUUCACGCUGUCAAGAAAAGCCUCUAGGAAGAGUAGUACUGCCCGUACCGCAAACCGACACAGGUAGAUGAGGAGAGAAUCCUAAGGUGAGCGAGAGAACUCUCGUUAAGGAACUCGGCAAAAUGACCCCGUAACUUCGGGAGAAGGGGUGCUCUAUUAGGGUGCAAGCCCGAGAGAGCCGCAGUGAAUAGGCCCAGGCGACUGUUUAGCAAAAACACAGGUCUCUGCAAAACCGUAAGGUGACGUAUAGGGGCUGACGCCUGCCCGGUGCUGGAAGGUUAAGAGGAGUGCUUAGCUUCGGCGAAGGUACGAAUUGAAGCCCCAGUAAACGGCGGCCGUAACUAUAACGGUCCUAAGGUAGCGAAAUUCCUUGUCGGGUAAGUUCCGACCCGCACGAAAGGCGCAACGAUCUGGGCACUGUCUCAACGAGAGACUCGGUGAAAUUAUAGUACCUGUGAAGAUGCAGGUUACCCGCGACAGGACGGAAAGACCCCGUGGAGCUUUACUGCAACCUGAUAUGGAAUGUUUGUACCGCUUGUACAGGAUAGGUAGGAGCCGAAGAGACGUGUGCGCUAGCAUACGAGGAGGCAAUGGUGGGAUACUACCCUGGCUGUAUGACCAUUCUAACCCGCCACGCUUAGCGCGUGGGGAGACAGUGUCAGGUGGGCAGUUUGACUGGGGCGGUCGCCUCCUAAAGAGUAACGGAGGCGCCCAAAGGUUCCCUCAGAAUGGAUGGAAAUCAUUCGCAGAGUGUAAAGGCACAAGGGAGCUUGACUGCGAGACUGACAAGUCGAGCAGGGACGAAAGUCGGGCUUAGUGAUCCGGUGGUUCCGCAUGGAAGGGCCAUCGCUCAACGGAUAAAAGCUACCCCGGGGAUAACAGGCUUAUCUCCCCCAAGAGUCCACAUCGACGGGGAGGUUUGGCACCUCGAUGUCGGCUCGUCGCAUCCUGGGGCUGUAGUCGGUCCCAAGGGUUGGGCUGUUCGCCCAUUAAAGCGGCACGCGAGCUGGGUUCAGAACGUCGUGAGACAGUUCGGUCCCUAUCCGUCGCGGGCGCAGGAAAUUUGAGAGGAGCUGUCCUUAGUACGAGAGGACCGGGAUGGACACACCGCUGGUGUACCAGUUGUUCCGCCAGGAGCAUCGCUGGGUAGCUAUGUGUGGCAGGGAUAAACGCUGAAAGCAUCUAAGCGUGAAGCCCCCCUCAAGAUGAGAUUUCCCAUUUCUUCGGAAAGUAAGAUCCCUGAAAGAUGAUCAGGUAGAUAGGUUUGGAGUGGAAGUGUAGCGAUACAUGGAGCGGACAAAUACUAAUCGAUCGAGGACUUAACCAAAA